Molecule: ribosomal RNA, 672 nt
Filed under: uncultured archaeon
Lineage: Archaea
Description: bacterial SSU rRNA
Rfam family: Archaeal small subunit ribosomal RNA
Source: RNAcentral
CGUGGCCAACCUGCCCUUGGGACGGAAGCACCCCCGGGAAACUGGGGCUAAUUUCCGAUAGGGGAAGACUCCUGGAAUGGAUUUUCGCCUAAAAGGCGCUUAGAGCAUGCUUCUAGGUGUUGCCCAAGGAUGGGGCCGCGGCCGAUCAGGUUGUUGGUGAGGUAACGGCUCACCAAGCCUUUAACCGGUGCGGGCCGUGGGAGCGGGAGCCCGGAGAUGGGCACUGAGACAAGGGCCCAGGCCCUACGGGGCGCAGCAGUCGCGAAAACUUCGCAAUAAGCGAAAGCUUGACGGGGCUAUCCCGAGUGCCAUCCGCUGAGGAUGGCUUUUCCCUAGUAUAGAUAGCUGGGGGAAAAAGGAGAGGGCAAGUCUGGUGUCAGCCGCCGCGGUAAUACCAGCUCUCCGAGUGGUGGGGAUGAUUAUUGGGCCUAAAGCAUCCGUAGCCGGCUGGGCAAGUCCCCUGUUAAACCCAGCGAUCUAAUCGUUGGCCUGCGGGGGAUACUGCUUGGCUAGGGGGCGAGAGAGGCCGUCGGUAUUCCCGGGGUAGGGGUGAAAUCCUAUAAUCCCGGGAGGACCACCAGUGGCGAAGGCUGUCGGCUAGAACGCGCCCGACGGUGAGGGAUGAAAGCUGGGGGAGCGAACCGGAUUAGAUACCCGGGUAGUCCCAGCUGU